UCAUAGCCCCGAUGGGAGUGGAAAUCCUGUCUUGUUUUCAACAAGACAGAUUGCAACGGACAGCGGAAAAAGGG
This 74-nucleotide small RNA is filed under the name Flavobacterium enshiense DK69. Its description in RNAcentral is "Flavobacterium sp. DK69 Flavo-1 RNA". It matches the Rfam family "Flavo-1 RNA". The record is from Rfam by way of RNAcentral. Lineage: Bacteria; Pseudomonadati; Bacteroidota; Flavobacteriia; Flavobacteriales; Flavobacteriaceae.